GUGGUGUGUAGUGUGGUGGUGGUGUGCGUAGUGGUGUGUGUGGUGGUGUGCGUAGUGGUGUGUGUAGUGGUGGUGUGUGUAGUGGUGGUGUGUGUAGUGGUGGUGGUGUGUAGUGGUGGUGGUGUGUAGUGGUGGUGGUGGUGGUGUGUGUAGUGGUGUGUAGUGGUGGUGGUGGUGUGUAGUGAUGGUGGUUUGUGUAGUGAUGGUGGUGGUGGUGUGUAGUGGUGGUGGUGGUGUGUAGUGGUGGUGGUGGUGGUGUGUGUAGUGAUGGUGGUGUGUGUAGUGAUGGAGGUGGUGGUGUGUGUGGUGGUGUGUAGUGAUGGUGGUGUGUAGUGGUGGUAGUGUGUAGUGGUGGUGGUGGUGGUGUGUAGUGAUGGGUGUAGUGGUGGUGGUGGUGGUGUGUAGUGGUGGUGGUGGUGUUUAGUGGUGGUGGUGGUGUGUAGUGGUGGUGGUUUGUGUAGUGAUGGUGGUGGUGGUGUGUAGUGGUGGUGGUGUGUAGUGGUGGUGGUUUGUGUAGUGAUGGUGGUGGUGGUGUGUAGUGGUGGUGGUGUGUAGUGAUGGUGGUGUGUGUAGUGAUGGAGGUGGUGGUGUGUGUAGUGGUGGUGGUGUGUGUAGUGGUGUGCAGUGAUGGUGGUGGUGUGCAGUGAUGGUGGUGGUGUGUAGUGAUGGUGGUGGUGGUGGUGUGUAGUGAUGGUGGUGGGGCGGUGGUGUGUAGUGAUGGUGGUGGUGGUGUGUAGUGAUGGAGGUGUGUAGUGAUGGAGGUGGUGGUGUGUAGAGAUGGAGGUGGUGGUGUGUAGUGGUGGUGGUGUGCAUAGUGGUGUGUGUAGUGGUUGUGGUGUGUGUAGUGGUGGUGUGUAGUGGUGGUGGUGGUGUGCGUAGUGGUGUGUGUGGUGGUGUGCGUAGUGGUGUGUGUAGUGGUGGUGUGUGUAGUGGUGGUGGUGGUGUGUAGUGAUGGUGGUGGUGUGUGUAGUGGUGGUGUGUAGUGGUGUGUGUGGUGGUGUGUAGUGGUGGUGGUGUGCGUAGUGGUGUGUGUGGUGGUGUACGUAGUGGUGUGUGUAGUGGUGGUGGUGUGUGUAGUGGUGGUGGUGGUGGUGUGUAGUGGUGGUGGUGGUGGUGGUGGUGUGUAGUGGUGGUGGUGGUGUGUGUAGUGGUGUGUGUAGUGGUGGUGGUGGUGGUGUGUAGUGGUGGUGGUGGUGGUGGUGUGUAGUGAUGGUGGUUUGUGUAGUGAUGGUGGUGGUGGUGUGUAGUGGUGGUGGUGUGUAGUGAUGGUGGUGUGUGUAGUGAUGGAGGUGGUGGUGUGUGUGGUGGUGUGUAGUGAUGGUGGUGUGUAGUGGUGGUGGUGGUGUGUGUAGUGGUGGUGGUGGUGUGUAGUGAUGGGUGUAGUGGUGGUGGUGGUGGUGUGUAGUGGUGGUGGUGGUGUGUAGUGAUGGUGGUUUGUGUCGUGAUGGUGGUGUGUAGUGGUGGUGGUGUGUAGUGGUGGUGAUGUGUAGUGAUGGUGGUGUGUGUAGUGAUGGAGGUGGUGGUUUGUGUAGUAGUGGUGGUGUGUAGUGAUGGUGGUGUGUAGUGUGAUGGUGGUGGUGGUGGUGUGUGUAGUAGUGGUGGUGUGUAGUGAUGGUGGUGUGUAGUGUGGUGGUGGUGUGUGUAGUGAUGGAGGUGGUGGUGUGUAGUGAUGGUGGUGGUGUGUAGUCAUGGUGGUGUUGGUGUGUGUAGUGAUGGUGUUGGUGUGUGUAGUGAUGGUGUUGGUGGUGUGUAGUGGUGGUGGUGUUGGUGGUGGUGGUGUGUAGUGAUGGUGGUGGUGGUGUGUGUAGUAAUGGUGGUGUGUAGUGUGUUGGUGGUGUGUGUAGUGUUGGAGGUGGUGGUGUGUAGUGAUGGUGGUGGUGUGUAGUCAUGGUGGUGUUGGUGUGUGUAGUGAUGGUGUUGGUGGUGUGUAGUGGUGGUGUUGGUGUGUUGUGAUGGUGUGUAAUGGUGGUGGAGUGUGUAGUGGUGGUGGUGGUGGUGUGUAGUGGUGGUGGUUGUGUUUAGUGAUGGUGGUGUGUGAAGUGGUGGUGGUGGUGUGUCUAGUGAUGGAGGUGGUGGUGUGUGUAGUGAUGGAGGUGGUGGUGUGUAGUCAUGGUGGUGUUGGUGUGUAUUCAUGGUGGUGUUGGGGUGUAGUGGUGGUGGUGUGUGUAGUGGUGGUGGUGGUGGUGUGUAGUGGUGGUGGUGUGUGUGGUGGUGGUGGUGUGUGUAGUGAUGUUGGUGGUGUGUGUAGUGGUGGUGUGUGUAGUGAUGGUGGUGGUGUGUAGUGGUGGUGGUGGUGUGUAGUGAUGGUGGUGUGUCUAGUGAUGGUGGUGGUGGUGUGUAGUGAUGGUGGUGGUGUGUAGUGAUGGUGGUGGUGUGUGUAGUGGUGGUGGUUGUGUGUGUAGUGGUUGUGUGUGUAGUGAUGGUGGUGGUGUGUUGGUGGUGGUGUGUGUAGUGAUGGUGGUCGUGUGUAGUGGUGGUGGUGGUGGUUUGUAGUGAUGGUGGUGGUGUGUAGUGAUGGUGGUGGUAGUGUGUGUAGUGAUGGUGGUGGUAGUGUGUGUAGUGAUGGUGGUGUGUGUAGUGAUGGUGGUGUGUGUAGUGAUGGUGGUGUGUGUAGUGAUGGUGGUGGUGUGUGUAGUGAUGGUGGUGGUGUGUGUAGUGACGGUGGUGGUGUGUGUAGUGAUGGUGUUGGUGUGUAGUGAUGGUGGUGUGUGUAGUGAUGGUGGUGUGUGUGUAGUGAUGGUGGUGUGUGUGUAGUGAUGGUGGUGUGUGUGUAGUGAUGGUGGUGGUGUGUGUAGUGAUGGUGGUGGUGUGUGUAGUGAUGGUGGUGUGUCUAGUGAUGGUGUUUUUUGUGUAGUGAUGGUGAUGGUGUGUGUAGUGGUGGUGGUGUGUGUAGUGAUGGUGUUUUUUGUGUAGUGAUGGUGGUGGUGUGUAGUGAUGGUGGUGGUGUGUAGUGAUGGUGGUGGUGUGUAGUGAUGGUGGUGUGUGUAGUGAUGGUGGUGGUGUGUAGUGAUGGUGGUGGUGUGUAUUGAUGGUGGUGUGUGUAGUGAUGGUGGUGUGUGUAGUGAUGGUGGUGGAGCUGUUCUAUGAUUUGAAACAGGAGGAACAUGUCCCACCCCUGUCAGAGUUUAAUUGUGGAGAGACGGUGUCAGGGACUUCUGAUUGGAUGAUAUCAUUCUCGUUGGCGAUGAUGUGCUUCACCAGACAGUUGGCUGCUUCAUCUAUAUUCAUAUUCUCCUAGAGAGAGAGAAGGAGAGAGGAGAGAGAAGGAGAGAGAGAGAGCAGAAGAGAGAGAGAUAGAAAGAGAGAGAGAGAGAGCAGAAGAGAGAGAGAGCAGAAGAGAGAGAGAGAGAGAGAGAGAGAGAGAGAGAGAGAGCAGAAGAGAGAGAGAGAGCAGAAGAGAGAGAGAGAGAGAGCACA
Molecule: long non-coding RNA, 3417 nt
Filed under: Salmo salar (Atlantic salmon)
Lineage: Eukaryota; Metazoa; Chordata; Actinopteri; Salmoniformes; Salmonidae
Description: lncRNA (ENSSSAG00000115066.1)
Source: RNAcentral